CGUCUAUUUGGAUAUUUGUGGCUGAGGGCGGUGGCGAUUCAGGCAGUAGUAGUCCAACGGUGACGGUUGGGUGGUGGAGGUCAGACAGUGGUUUAAUGGUGAAGUAUCAAAGCCCUAACACUGCGAGCAAGAUCUCAGUGAAGCUGCUGGCUUAGUUCCCUGUUCGUCGCUUUGCUGCAAUUUCUACUAGGGCCUCGGCCUACGGGGCGUAUGAAGCAAGGUUUCCUCCAGCCGUCCAGCCUCCGAUUCCUCCUGUUUCCAAGUUUAAGAUGGCUCUGUGUUAGCUGUCUGUGAUAGCGGACAAGGCGCGGAACAUCGCCCACACGCGAAGGGUGAUCGAGGCUGCUACUUUUAAGGCGUCUCAGUUUGUUCUCUUGCCCGUAAGUUUUCUCCAGUGAUGUCAAGACUUAACUUAAAAUGUGCUAUUCGAUGCUUACAUAGUCCCGCUUGUACCUGGUUGCUCUAACAUUGAGGAUUGCAUCUUUGUUCUUGCCAAUAGCAUCUUCUUAUUGGCCUCUUCUUAUCAAAUUUUAUCCAAUUUUUUUGUAUUCCUUUCGAAAUACUUGUUGUCUGUAUUUGACAGAUGAAGAUUGGAGUGAUGUAAGAUUUUUUCCCAUAUUGCUCUUCCUAUUUUUAA
Dendrobium catenatum is the source of this 637-nucleotide long non-coding RNA. RefSeq lists it as uncharacterized. NCBI's taxonomy places the organism in Eukaryota, Viridiplantae, Streptophyta, Magnoliopsida, Asparagales, Orchidaceae. The record is from RefSeq and is a predicted model, not a curated record. The transcript has 2 exons.